Molecule: ribosomal RNA, 255 nt
Filed under: uncultured bacterium
Lineage: Bacteria
Description: partial 16S ribosomal RNA
Rfam family: Bacterial small subunit ribosomal RNA
Source: RNAcentral
UACGAAGGGGGGCUAGCGUUGCUCGGAAUCACUGGGCGUAAAGGGUGCGUAGGCGGGUCUUUAAGUCAGGGGUGAAAUCCUGGAGCUCAACUCCAGAACUGCCUUUGAUACUGAGGAUCUUGAGUCCGGGAGAGGUGAGUGGAACUGCGAGUGUAGAGGUGAAAUUCGUAGAUAUUCGCAAGAACACCAGUGGCGAAGGCGGCUCACUGGCCCGGUACUGACGCUGAGGCACGAAAGCGUGGGGAGCAAACGGGG